GCUGGGGUGGCGGAAUGGUAGACGCGCUUGACUUAAGAUCAAGUAUCGCGAGAUGUGCGAGUUCGAGUCUCGCCCCCAGCACCA
This 84-nucleotide transfer RNA is filed under the name bacterium. RNAcentral's name for it is "tRNA-Leu". It matches the Rfam family "tRNA". From Rfam's summary of the family: Transfer RNA (tRNA) molecules are approximately 80 nucleotides in length. Their secondary structure includes four short double-helical elements and three loops (D, anti-codon, and T loops). Further hydrogen bonds mediate the characteristic L-shaped molecular structure. tRNAs have two regions of fundamental functional importance: the anti-codon, which is responsible for specific mRNA codon recognition, and the 3' end, to which the tRNAs corresponding amino acid is attached (by aminoacyl-tRNA synthetases). tRNAs cope with the degeneracy of the genetic code in two manners: having more than one tRNA (with a specific anti-codon) for a particular amino acid; and 'wobble' base-pairing, i.e. permitting non-standard base-pairing at the 3rd anti-codon position. The record is from RNAcentral.